Ficedula albicollis (Collared flycatcher) is the source of this 455-nucleotide long non-coding RNA. RefSeq lists it as uncharacterized. The transcript has 4 exons. Lineage: Eukaryota; Metazoa; Chordata; Aves; Passeriformes; Muscicapidae. The record is from RefSeq and is a predicted model, not a curated record.
AAAAUUUGCAGAUGUGAAUCUCCUUGGGAGCAUCAGGACAACUCUGGCAUUUCUUCCCCUUCUAAGGAAAUACAAGGGAGAGCAGGAAUGACCUACAGAGGUGAACUAGAGACAUCCAACCAGAGUUCCAGCUCUGUGGAGCCUCUGUGACCUUGGGCAGGAAACUUCAUGACGUAUUGUUUUCAUGUCCAGCAUCAUUGCCUAUUUUACUCUGGGAAAUGGCAUUUAUUCUAUGACCAAGGCAGCUAUUGAAAAAUUUUGUGAUGCUUUAAGACUGGAAAUGAAGAAGUUUGGUGUCCAGCACCUGAGGGGAGGGCUCCUGAGGAUGCUGUGUGACAGACCUGCUUGAGGCACAUGAGGCUGUUCCAGCUGUGCACACCAUCCCUCUGCUGGAGUUUGUCUGCGUCCCUUCCUUCUCCCUGUGCAUAGGACCUGCACCCCAGGCCUCCUGAGAG